This 588-nucleotide long non-coding RNA is filed under the name Ananas comosus (pineapple). RNAcentral's name for it is "long non-coding RNA (ACOM_LNC009544)". The record is from RNAcentral. Lineage: Eukaryota; Viridiplantae; Streptophyta; Magnoliopsida; Poales; Bromeliaceae.
ACUGAUAAUUCGCUACUUUUUUUCUCCACAAAAAAGAAAUGAAAGAGAGUUUUGUCUGAUCGUUAGUGUUAAUCAUUAAUCUCAAAAACUCGAAUUGUUAAAAAAAUAUAACUGAUUAAUUCACUUAGAGCACAUAAAUACAACACUCACAAGUUUCGAUUGUGACUCGACCUAAUCUGACCUCCUGUCACAUACACAAUACUGGAUGAAUUCUGAAAACUCAAUUUAAUUGGUUUCAUUUCUAUCAUAUUAAGUACUUUUUAUAUAGAAAUUGUUUGGUUCUCGACCGAGUAUAUAUAUAUAUAUAUAAUUUCUAGAAAAAUGAAUUUAGUAAAAAACUUCUUCUCCAAUUUUUCGUCUUUUUAGUUUUUUUUUUUUUGAGAGAUAGGUAGCAUGCUAUCCGCUUCGUUUAUUUAUUUAGAAAUAAAUUUAGCUGGAAAUGUGAAUCAACUAGAAUUCGAACUUGGAACUUCGAGUAUCAAUCACCAAGCCCUUUGCCACUUGCUCUAGGGACGGUUAGUAGUUAAAAGAAAAUUUUGUCUUUUUGAAAUUUUUUUUUUUUCAGAUUUCAUGAAAAAUUAGAGUUUU